RNAcentral lists this long non-coding RNA (1481 nucleotides) under Homo sapiens (human). RNAcentral's name for it is "non-protein coding H19:8". The stretch from base 239 to 311 matches the Rfam family "mir-675 microRNA precursor family". Lineage: Eukaryota; Metazoa; Chordata; Mammalia; Primates; Hominidae. The record is from RNAcentral.
GGGGGUAACGGGGGAAACUGGGGAAGUGGGGAACCGAGGGGCAACCAGGGGAAGAUGGGGUGCUGGAGGAGAGCUUGUGGGAGCCAAGGAGCACCUUGGACAUCUGGAGUCUGGCAGGAUUGCAGCAGGACGUCACCAGGAGGGCGAAGCGGCCACGGGAGGGGGGCCCCGGGACAUUGCGCAGCAAGGAGGCUGCAGGGGCUCGGCCUGCGGGCGCCGGUCCCACGAGGCACUGCGGCCCAGGGUCUGGUGCGGAGAGGGCCCACAGUGGACUUGGUGACGCUGUAUGCCCUCACCGCUCAGCCCCUGGGGCUGGCUUGGCAGACAGUACAGCAUCCAGGGGAGUCAAGGGCAUGGGGCGAGACCAGACUAGGCGAGGCGGGCGGGGCGGAGUGAAUGAGCUCUCAGGAGGGAGGAUGGUGCAGGCAGGGGUGAGGAGCGCAGCGGGCGGCGAGCGGGAGGCACUGGCCUCCAGAGCCCGUGGCCAAGGCGGGCCUCGCGGGCGGCGACGGAGCCGGGAUCGGUGCCUCAGCGUUCGGGCUGGAGACGAGGCCAGGUCUCCAGCUGGGGUGGACGUGCCCACCAGCUGCCGAAGGCCAAGACGCCAGGUCCGGUGGACGUGACAAGCAGGACAUGACAUGGUCCGGUGUGACGGCGAGGACAGAGGAGGCGCGUCCGGCCUUCCUGAACACCUUAGGCUGGUGGGGCUGCGGCAAGAAGCGGGUCUGUUUCUUUACUUCCUCCACGGAGUCGGCACACUAUGGCUGCCCUCUGGGCUCCCAGAACCCACAACAUGAAAGAAAUGGUGCUACCCAGCUCAAGCCUGGGCCUUUGAAUCCGGACACAAAACCCUCUAGCUUGGAAAUGAAUAUGCUGCACUUUACAACCACUGCACUACCUGACUCAGGAAUCGGCUCUGGAAGGUGAAGCUAGAGGAACCAGACCUCAUCAGCCCAACAUCAAAGACACCAUCGGAACAGCAGCGCCCGCAGCACCCACCCCGCACCGGCGACUCCAUCUUCAUGGCCACCCCCUGCGGCGGACGGUUGACCACCAGCCACCACAUCAUCCCAGAGCUGAGCUCCUCCAGCGGGAUGACGCCGUCCCCACCACCUCCCUCUUCUUCUUUUUCAUCCUUCUGUCUCUUUGUUUCUGAGCUUUCCUGUCUUUCCUUUUUUCUGAGAGAUUCAAAGCCUCCACGACUCUGUUUCCCCCGUCCCUUCUGAAUUUAAUUUGCACUAAGUCAUUUGCACUGGUUGGAGUUGUGGAGACGGCCUUGAGUCUCAGUACGAGUGUGCGUGAGUGUGAGCCACCUUGGCAAGUGCCUGUGCAGGGCCCGGCCGCCCUCCAUCUGGGCCGGGUGACUGGGCGCCGGCUGUGUGCCCGAGGCCUCACCCUGCCCUCGCCUAGUCUGGAAGCUCCGACCGACAUCACGGAGCAGCCUUCAAGCAUUCCAUUACGCCCCAUCUCGCUCUGUGCCC